CUUUGGUGAAUUUCUUGGAGGGUGCUAAAUAUUUCGUUGACAAAAAGAGAGGAUCCAGGAAGAAGAAAAGUGAAGUUAAAUAUUGAGGAGCUGAUAAAUGCAUACCAAGUGACCACCCUGAUCAUAGGUUUGAAGCAACAGGAUUACUGCCAAAGAAAAAUCAGCAGUGAUGUUCCCCAGAGGUCUCAUAAGCAAGUCUGAUGUGAAGUCAAACAAAAGGAGCUU
RNAcentral lists this long non-coding RNA (225 nucleotides) under Dasypus novemcinctus (nine-banded armadillo). RNAcentral describes it as "lncRNA (ENSDNOG00000050576.1)". The record is from RNAcentral. Lineage: Eukaryota; Metazoa; Chordata; Mammalia; Cingulata; Dasypodidae.